UACGUAGGGGGCUAGCGUUGUCCGGAUUUAUUGGGCGUAAAGAGCGUGUAGGCGGCCAUGUAGGUCCGGUGUGAAAACUCGAGGCUUAACCUCGAGAUGUCAUCGGAAACCAUUUGGCUAGAGUCCGGAAGAGGAGAGUGGAAUUCCUGGUGUAGCGGUGAAAUGCGCAGAUAUCAGGAAGAACACCAAUGGCGAAAGCAGCUCUCUGGGACGGUACUGACGCUGAGACGCGAAAAGCGUGGGGAGCGAACAGG
RNAcentral lists this ribosomal RNA (254 nucleotides) under uncultured bacterium. Its description in RNAcentral is "partial 16S ribosomal RNA". It matches the Rfam family "Bacterial small subunit ribosomal RNA", at positions 524 to 776 of the family's 1533-position model. The record is from RNAcentral.